This is a microRNA precursor of Equus caballus (horse), 135 nucleotides long. NCBI's taxonomy places the organism in Eukaryota, Metazoa, Chordata, Mammalia, Perissodactyla, Equidae. The record is from Ensembl.
GUUUGGUGAGGCAAGGCCAUGUCUGGUUUCUGAGAACUGCAAGAGCGCAGAGCGGCGUCACCGUCGUUAGUGGGGACUGGCUCUGCUCUGUGGCUGCAGAUGGUAGACAGCAAAGAGGCUCCGUUUCUGCUCCUG